CACCAAUACCAUACCACCCUGAACAUGCCAGAUCUCAUCUGAUCUCGGAAGCUAAGCAGGGUCAGGCCUGGUUAGUUCUUGGAUGGGAAAAAUCGCUUUUUACAGUUAUAUGAGUUAAAUAAGGCCAUUUUCAUAC
RNAcentral lists this ribosomal RNA (136 nucleotides) under Mesocricetus auratus (golden hamster). Lineage: Eukaryota; Metazoa; Chordata; Mammalia; Rodentia; Cricetidae. The record is from RNAcentral.